AACGAACGCUGGCGGCAGGCCUAAAACAUGCAAGUCGAACGCCCCGCAAGGGGAGUGGCGCACGGGUGAGUAACGCGUGGGAACGUGCCCUUCAGUACGGGACAACGUCGGGAAACUGACGCUAAUACCGUAUAAUAUCUCCGGAUCAAAGAUUUAUCGCUGAGGGAGCGGCCCGCGUCUGAUUAGCUAGUUGGUGAGGUAAUGGCUCACCAAGGCUACGAUCAGUAGCAGGUCUGAGAGGAUGAUCUGCCACACUGGGACUGAGACACGGCCCAGACUCCUACGGGAGGCGGCAGUUAGGAAGAUUGGACAAGGGAGGAAACCCUGAUCCAGCCAUGCCGCGUGUGUGAUGAAGGCCCUAGGGUUGUAAAGCACUUUCGUUGGGGAUGAUAAUGACCGUACCCAAAGAAGAAGCCACGGCUAAAUUCGUGCCAGCAGCCGCCGUAA
Molecule: ribosomal RNA, 447 nt
Filed under: uncultured bacterium
Lineage: Bacteria
Description: partial 16S ribosomal RNA
Rfam family: Bacterial small subunit ribosomal RNA
Source: RNAcentral